UAGAGUUCGAUCCCGGCUCGGACGAGCGCUGGCGGCGCGCCAAACACGCAAGUCGAACGAGAGAUGAGGGGCUUGCUCUUAAAUCGAGUGGCGAACGGGUGAGUAACGCGUGAGGAACCUGCCUCAAAGAGGGGGACAACAGUUGGAAACGAUGCUAAUACCGCAUAAGCCCACGGCUCGGCAUCGAGCAGAGGGAAAAGGAGCAAUCCGCUUUGAGAUGGCCUCGCGUCCGAUUAGCUAGUUGGUGAGGUAAUGGCCCACCAAGGCGACGAUCGGUAGCCGGACUGAGAGGUUGAACGGCCACAUUGGGACUGAGACACGGCCCAGACUCCUACGGGAGGCAGCAGUGGGGAAUAUUGCACAAAUGGGGGAAACCCUGAUGCAGCGACGCCGCGUGGAGGAAGAAGGUCUUCGGGAUUGUAAACUCCUGUUGUUGAGGAAGAUAAUGACGGUACUCAACAAGGAAGUGACGGCUAACUACGUGCCAGCAGCCGCGGUAAAACGUAGGUCACAAGCGUUGUCCGGAAUUACUGGGUGUAAAGGGAGCGCAGGCGGGAGAACAAGUUGGAAGUGAAAUCCAUGGGCUCAACCCAUGAACUGCUUUCAAAACUGUUUUUCUUGAGUAGUGCAGAGGUAGGCGGAAUUCCCGGUGUAGCGGUGGAAUGCGUAGAUAUCGGGAGGAACACCAGUGGCGAAGGCGGCCUACUGGGCACCAACUGACGCUGAGGCUCGAAAGUGUGGGUAGCAAACAGGAUUAGAUACCCUGGUAGUCCACACCGUAAACGAUGAUUACUAGGUGUUGGAGGAUUGACCCCUUCAGUGCCGCAG
This 828-nucleotide ribosomal RNA is filed under the name uncultured bacterium. Its description in RNAcentral is "bacterial SSU rRNA". It matches the Rfam family "Bacterial small subunit ribosomal RNA", at positions 1 to 851 of the family's 1533-position model. The record is from RNAcentral.